RNAcentral lists this small RNA (687 nucleotides) under Exophiala spinifera. Its description in RNAcentral is "eukaryotic LSU rRNA". The stretch from base 296 to 450 matches the Rfam family "5.8S ribosomal RNA". Lineage: Eukaryota; Fungi; Ascomycota; Eurotiomycetes; Chaetothyriales; Herpotrichiellaceae. The record is from RNAcentral.
GGCAACGACCACUCAGAGCCGGAAACUUGUUCAAACUUGGUCAUUUAGAGGAAGUAAAAGUCGUAACAAGGUCUUCGUAGGUGAACCUGCGGAGGGAUCAUUACCGAGUUAGGGUCCUCACAGGCCCGACCUCCCAACCCAUUGUUUAUGAUACUCAGUGUUGCUUCGGCAGGCCUGGUCUUUGACCUGCCGGAGGGCCGUAACACGCCCCCCGGAGAGCGCCUGCCGACGGCCCCAACUUCAAAAUUCUUAACUAAACAUGUCUUUGUCUAAGUAAAGUCUUUAAUAAAAGCAAAACUUUCAACAACGGAUCUCUUGGUUCUGGCAUCGAUGAAGAACGCAGCGAAAUGCGAUAAGUAAUGCGAAUUGCAGAAUUCUCGUGAGUCAUCGAAUCUUUGAACGCACAUUGCGCCCUUUGGUAUUCCGAAGGGCAUGCCUGUUCGAGCGUCAUUUUCACCCCUCAAGCCCCCGGCUUGGUGUUGGACGGUUUGGUCCCGGGACCCCCCUGGACCCCUCCCAAAGACAAUGACGGCGGGCUGUCGCACCCCCGGUACACUGAGCAUCUUCACGGAGCACGUACCGGUCUCCAGGGUCGACGGCACCCGGUCUCACACCUAUAUCUUUCAAGGUUGACCUCGGAUCAGGUAGGAAUACCCGCUGAACUUAAGCAUAUCAAUAAGCGGAGGA